CAGGGUUUGAUCCUGGCUCAGGAUGAACGCUAGCUACAGGCUUAACACAUGCAAGUCGAGGGGAAACGGCAUUGAGUGCUUGCACUCUUUGGACGUCGACCGGCGCACGGGUGAGUAACGCGUAUCCAACCUUCCCAUUACUGUGGGAUAACCUGCCGAAAGGCAGACUAAUACCGCAUAGUCUUCGAUGACGGCAUCAGAUUUGAAGUAAAGAUUUAUCGGUAAUGGAUGGGGAUGCGUCUGAUUAGCUUGUUGGCGGGGUAACGGCCCACCAAGGCAACGAUCAGUAGGGGUUCUGAGAGGAAGGUCCCCCACAUUGGAACUGAGACACGGUCCAAACUCCUACGGGAGGCAGCAGUGAGGAAUAUUGGUCAAUGGACGGAAGUCUGAACCAGCCAAGUAGCGUGCAGGAUGACGGCCCUAUGGGUUGUAAACUGCUUUUGUAUGGGGAUAAAGUUAGGGACGUGUCCCUAUUUGCAGGUACCAUACGAAUAAGGACCGGCUAAUUCCGUGCCAGCAGCCGCGGUAAUACGGAAGGUCCAGGCGUUAUCCGGAUUUAUUGGGUUUAAAGGGAGCGUAGGCUGGAGAUUAAGUGUGUUGUGAAAUGUAGACGCUCAACGUCUGAAUUGCAGCGCAUACUGGUUUCCUUGAGUACGCACAACGUUGGCGGAAUUCGUCGUGUAGCGGUGAAAUGCUUAGAUAUGACGAAGAACUCCGAUUGCGAAGGCAGCUGACGGGAGCGCAACUGACGCUUAAGCUCGAAGGUGCGGGUAUCAAACAGGAUUAGAUACCCUGGUAGUCCGCACAGUAAACGAUGGAUGCCCGCUGUUGGGUAC
RNAcentral lists this ribosomal RNA (836 nucleotides) under uncultured bacterium. RNAcentral's name for it is "bacterial SSU rRNA". It matches the Rfam family "Bacterial small subunit ribosomal RNA", at positions 8 to 830 of the family's 1533-position model. The record is from RNAcentral.